GGCCUACCAUGGUGGUAACGGGUAACGGGGUGUUAGGGCACGACACCGGAGAGGGAGCCUGAGAAACGGCUACCACAUCCAAGGAUGGCAGCAGGCGCGCAAAUUACCCAAUCCCGACACGGGGAGGUAGUGACAAUAAAUAACAAUACGGGGUUCUUUAGGAUCUCGUAAUUGGAAUGAGUACAAUUUAAAUCUCUUAACGAGGAACAAUCGGAGGGCAAGUCUGGUGCCAGCAGCCGCGGUAAUUCCAGCUCCAAUAGCGUAUAUUAAAGUUGUUGCAGUUAAAAAGCUCGUAGUUGAAUUUCGGGAUUAGUACGUUGGUCGUGCCUUAGGUACGUACUGGUGUUACUGGUUUCUACCUUCUGACGAACCAUCAUGUCAUUAAUUUGGUGGGGGGGGGAAUCAGGACUGUUACUUUGAAAAAAUUAGAGUGUUUAAAGCAGGCUCGCGCUUGAAUACAUUAGCAUGGAAUAAUGAAAUAGGACGUUGAUCCUAUUUUGUUGGUUUCUAGGAUUGACGUAAUGAUUAAUAGGGAUAGUUGGGGGCAUUAGUAUUCAAUUGUCAGAGGUGAAAUUCUUGGAUUUAUUGAAGACUAACUACUGCGAAAGCAUUUGCCAAGGAUGUUUUCAUUAAUCAAGAACGAAAGUUAGGGGAUCGAAGACGAUCAGAUACCGUCGUAGUCUUAACCAUAAACUAUGCCGACUAGGGAUCGGAUGAUAUAUUUUUUAUGACUCAUUCGGCGCCUUACG
Molecule: ribosomal RNA, 749 nt
Filed under: uncultured Glomeromycotina
Lineage: Eukaryota; Fungi; Glomeromycota
Description: SSU rRNA
Rfam family: Eukaryotic small subunit ribosomal RNA
Source: RNAcentral